Molecule: long non-coding RNA, 2773 nt
Organism: Fundulus heteroclitus (mummichog)
Lineage: Eukaryota; Metazoa; Chordata; Actinopteri; Cyprinodontiformes; Fundulidae
Exons: 4
Source: RefSeq, a predicted model, not a curated record
ACAGAAAGUGAACAUAUUACGCUUCUAACAAAAGUUUAUGGGUCAUAUUAGACCAUCUCACCCUCAUAAGAUUAGAUUAUAAAUUAAUUUACUAUUCCACAAUAGAGCAAUUCAGGCGGGACAACCCUUUGCAUGUUUGUAAAAAGUUACUGAGUUUGUUGUGAGUAGCAGAGAUUGUAAAAACUAACCCCCAGGCACCACAUCCUCCAUGCUUGCUCCGCUCCGUUCAUGUCCAACCAACAGAGCAACUACACUGUUAUGUCAAUUAAUAAGAACAGUUCCAAAUUCUCUGCGACUGCUCCAAACGUCAUUGUCAAUGGACCUUCUCUCUGUUGUUCCCCACCAAAUUACAGAACAACUCCAAUUUUCUGGUUUUUCCGGUCCAUCCGGUUUAAGAUCCAUUAUUCCAAAAGAGAAACCACACUGAUUCAACAGCUCCGUAAAAUCUAUAGAUUGAGAAGAAUCUUAACAAACCAUAUCAUCCAUAGGGGAGUUAAAAUGGUAAGCGUGAGCGAUUUAACCACACACUUAAUCAGCUGUUACGAGCUUUGCAGCCAAAGCAGACAUGGCAUUGGCCUUGGCACCCUUUUCAGACCACUUAUGCAUAUAAUGCCACUGUCCAACAGGCAAUGACUGGUGACUCGAUACUGUUUGAUUUUUUUGGCCUAGAGUGGAUUUCUUGGUGGGAGUCGAAGGGGAGCAUCUUGAUCUGUCCAUGGAAGAUUGGGUGAUGGAACAUCAAAAGUAUGUUGGUGUUGCAUAUGAGGUGAGAAGAACACAACAGUAUUGAAAUGCUAAAGUUAAUGGGGAUACCCCUGAUUUUUUUCUUUUUACAAGGUGAUGUGGUGUACACCAGAAACUAAUCCGUGAAAGGUCGAAAUAAGAUCGAAGAUGUUGGAUCCCAUGCAAUUACAGGAAACUGAACUGAAACUGUACAAGCAGCUAUCCCUAAUGAUUUUGUGGAACCCAGUCAGAAUGUUACCUUUGCGUAAUUAACUUUGAACGAGGUGCAACACUGUGCCAUCCUUCACAGGAGGACGACUUACUGUACGCACAGACAAUGGAACUCCACAGAUCACCUGGUAGGAGUGCUCAGCAGCAUUCCAACCAUUUCAAUUGGCUAAUCUGUGCUUUUGAAAGUUAAAGAAUGAACUGCAGUCUUUGCAUUUCUCAGUUCAUUGUUAUUGUUGCUGAUGCACUUUGAAGAGGAGGGAAUUAACCCGUGGUACCUAUUGUUUCUCCACCCGUCUGACUGAAGGAGAAGAACAUAAAGGACCAGGCAUGACGUGAUCAGAGAUGUUUGUCAGAACUCUGGUGAUUGCAUCUCUGUCGUUGGACCUUGUGCAGAUUCCUCCAUGGAGUUCUGGCUUAACAUAAUUGUCUUUGUGCUGGUUUUCGCCAUCACAAUCAUGGGCUGCCUCUUCAUUUUGAGGAGAAUAACCGUUGAAUUUUGGAGAUUUAAAAGGGGUGAACGCAGCACUGCCCAUUUUUGUUGCUGCUUAUUAUUGUGGGUUCCACCCUUGGUCGGUUUCCUUCUGUUCCUGAUCCACGUUGUCACUCCUUAAUCCAUGGGUUAGAUCAGUGAGCCACCCUGGUCACUGAGAACUACUCGUCGUCAGAAACAAGGCUGAUUUCUGCAUAUAUUUCAGUUUCUCUUCUGUGUGCAAUAUACCUGCGACAAUUAAUUUUUUCUAUCUAAUGUUAUAUAGAUGCAUUUGUAAAUUUUAGGAUUUACUUGUACUAUGUGGAGAUGAUUACAUAUAUAUUGAAGAGGAUAAAACUUAACUAGCAAUGAUAUGUAGAACAAAUAAAGUCAUGGGCAUCAUGAGGAUUUGGAGGAUUCUGAUCUGGGUGAAGUUCUCCUGCGUACAUCAUAGAGACGUUUACAUCUUCUUGAUAUGAUUUAAUGACAUGGUGGCUACAUUGUAGCCAUCAGCUUGUGAAUGUGUGGUGAAUGACUGAAUGUACAGGCCAUUACUUAGUCCAGGCCAGUUGAAUAUCAUUUAAUUUAAUUUAAUUUAAAAUGUACAAAAUAUGGGAGUCCGCUGAGAGGACUUAUCAGGCCUACCAUUGGACAUCAGACAGCACAAAAGUAUGUUCUGCCCAGAUGACGCGUCAAGAAGAAGCUGCCAGACCAGUGCUGGAAGAAAAGAAAAACACAUUUUAUCCUCAUACCCUGGUGUAGAGAACAAAUUCAAAGGCAGACGUGUUGCCACAGAUCCCACCCAUCUGAGCAAUGCACAGUUUGUCCCACUUCCAUCAAGUGAGCGAUCUAGGAACAUUAAACAGACGGCAAAUGUAGGAAAUGUUUGCUGAACUUAGAAAUCGUUUUUCAUAUCUUCUGCUCCUGGGUAGAAUCUGAAUUAAAGGUGUACGGCUGUAUCAUUGCGCUUUUAUUUGCAGCCAUUUUCAUGUGUAUAAAGUGGGAGUGUGUAAACUUUGAGUUGGGGGGUUGCAGUCAGUAACACCUUAUUUACCUAAAAUAAAAACAACACAUUUUAAAUUACCUUAAAAUAGUGAAUCUGAGGAGGGGAAAUCUCAUCAUCUGAGAAUGAUUUUGUGCAAACAAAAUUUAAUGAACAUGUUUGGUAUACCCCAUGGACCUGUUCUAAAUAUUUAAAAAGAGUAUAACAGGCCACUUUUAAAAGUAAAUGAACCAACAUGCACAAUGGACAAGACUCAUGUUGAGGUUGAGGGUUGCUGAGUAAGAAUCAGGAAUCAAGAAGCUUUAUUGUCAUUAUGUGUAACAUUUCUCCAUGAGUGUACAGUCUUU